This 292-nucleotide ribosomal RNA is filed under the name uncultured bacterium. RNAcentral describes it as "partial 16S ribosomal RNA". It matches the Rfam family "Bacterial small subunit ribosomal RNA", at positions 505 to 796 of the family's 1533-position model. The record is from RNAcentral.
GUGUCAGCAGCCGCGGUAAUACAGAGGUGGCGAGCGUUAUUCGGAAUUAUUGGGCGUAAAGGGCGCGUAGGCGGCUAGGCAAGUCUUGGGUGAAAUCCCUCGGCUCAACCGAGGAACUGCCUUGGAAACUGCCUGGCUCGAGGCCGGGAGAGGGUAGCGGAAUUCCCAGUGUAGCGGUGAAAUGCGUAGAUACUGGGAGGAACACCAGUGGCGAAGGCGGCUACCUGGACCGGUUCUGACGCUGAGGCGCGAAAGCGUGGGGAGCAAACAGGAUUAGAAACCCUGGUAGUCC